This 429-nucleotide unclassified non-coding RNA is filed under the name soil metagenome. Its description in RNAcentral is "partial contains 5.8S ribosomal RNA, internal transcribed spacer 2, and large subunit ribosomal RNA". The stretch from base 1 to 119 matches the Rfam family "5.8S ribosomal RNA", at positions 35 to 154 of the family's 154-position model. The record is from RNAcentral.
GAUGAAGAACGUAGCGAAAUGCGAUACGUAAUGUGAAUUGCAGAAUUCAGUGAAUCAUCGAAUCUUUGAACGCAUAUUGCGCUCUCUGUAUUCCGGAGAGCAUGCUUGUUUGAGUAUCAGUAAACACCUCAACUCCCUUUUCUUUUUUGAAAUUGGAGCUGGACUUGAGUGAUCCCAACGCUUUUUUCCAAGAAAGUGGCGGGUUGCUUGAAAUGCAGGUGCAGCUGAACUUUUCUCUGAGCUAUAAGCAUAUCUAUUUAGUCUGCCUAAAAAACAGAUUAUUACCUUUGCUGCAGCUAACAUAAAGGAGACUAGUUCUUGUGCUGACUGAUGCAGGAUUCACAGAGACAGCUUCGGCUGACUUUGUAAACUCGAUCUCAAAUCAAGUAAGACUACCCGCUGAACUUAAGCAUAUCAAUAAGCGGAGGA